GAGUUUGAUCAUGGCUCAGAUUGAACGCUGGCGGCAUGCCUUACACAUGCAAGUCGAACGGCAGCGGACCUUCGGGUGCCGGCGAGUGGCGAACGGGUGAGUAAAGCAUCGGAACGUGCCCUGGAAUGGGGGAUAACGUAGCGAAAGUUACGCUAAUACCGCAUAUUCUGUGAGCAGGAAAGCAGGGGAUCGCAAGACCUUGCGUUCUGGGAGCGGCCGAUGUCGGAUUAGCUAGUUGGUGGGGUAAAAGCCUACCAAGGCGACGAUCCGUAGCGGGUCUGAGAGGAUGAUCCGCCACACUGGGGCUGAGACACGGCCCAGACUCCUACGGGAGGCAGCAGUGGGGAAUUUUGGACAAUGGGCGGAAGCCUGAUCCAGCCAUGCCGCGUGAGUGAAGAAGGCCUUCGGGUUGUAAAGCUCUUUCGGUGGGGAAGAAAUUGCACGGGUUAAUACCCUGUGUAGAUGACGGUACCCGACUAAGAAGCACCGGCUAACUACGUG
RNAcentral lists this ribosomal RNA (501 nucleotides) under uncultured bacterium. RNAcentral describes it as "bacterial SSU rRNA". It matches the Rfam family "Bacterial small subunit ribosomal RNA", at positions 9 to 507 of the family's 1533-position model. The record is from RNAcentral.